RNAcentral lists this ribosomal RNA (1620 nucleotides) under Triticum aestivum (bread wheat). RNAcentral describes it as "partial small subunit ribosomal RNA". Lineage: Eukaryota; Viridiplantae; Streptophyta; Magnoliopsida; Poales; Poaceae. The record is from RNAcentral.
CGAAAAGCGGGGUGAACAGCCACACACCCCAACUAAAGAAAGACCGAAGCCGCAGUCUAUGACCUCUCUCUCUCUCCCCUCUCUAUCGCAGCCGCAGAAGAGGGAAAGAAGGCCCGAAAGACGGGCGACUCUUGCACGCGCGUCUUUCCUACUUCAAGCUCGGCACCUCAUGAAGCUCGGCACGCGGGGAAGGGGGCAGGAGGAGGUGGAACGGACCCGAGGCGGAGGAGGCGGGCGUAGGAGGAGAGAGAGAAAAGACGCGGUUGCCGGAGGAGGGAGCAACGACCUGGGCGGGACGAAGCGGAGGCGGUCGGAGAAGGAGGAACGGCAGUUGCCGUCGCCACACUUGCCCUCGUCGCCGGCGCUGAUCUACGCUACUCAACUGGCCCGACCAAGGUGCGACUCCUUGCCUGGGGGAGCUGUGGUAGGAGACGCCGCGAUGAGACGACGUACGCAAGCAGUGUCAAUUCAAGACCAAGGAAUGGACGAGGGGGAGGAGAACUCGUAAUACAAGGAGUGUCAUAAAUCGGAACGAUGGAAGUAUACAAGUACACGUCCAAACACUAGAGAAGACGUAAGGCGAAAGGUCCUCAAGAACGGAAGUUGGGACUCCACCUUACCGAGAAGGGUAUGAACAGAGCGCCUCCACCCCGAGCUUCUUCAUACCGUACCCCGAGCUCCUGCCCUCUCCUAACCAGGACUACGCGAUCCGAGCACGCGGACAAAAGGAAAAAAAAGGAAGCUACCCCGGCAAGUCCACUCCACUUCGUUCGCUCGUGGAGGGGCACAAAAUAUAAACUCUAGCUCCUGUCUCGCUCAGCAACGUCUCCUCUCCCCUAUGCUCCCACCCGCCUCCAGUCCGUAACGAUUGUCUAAACGCCGCCUCACCUUCUCCACUGCGGUCGGCCGGCCGCGGAGUGGUGGCCGAGGACAAACCGCCACCGUUUCUCUUCCCGCGGCUCCUACACAACGAGAUACGUACCAACAGCUUCAUGUAGUAGCAAUACUACACAUACCAAAGAGAUCGGGAUGACGAGGACUCGGGUUUAGGGUACCAGUACGGGGGUGGAGAGGUAGCAACUUACUUCCCUCAGACCAACGAUUUUUGAAAAGAUGUCGUUAUCGGUUUAUUACACUGUAGUGUGGUGAGGUAAAAGUAUCCGGUAUUGUGUAGAAAUGUACUAUUCGGCUGUGGAUUGUUCCUAGCCCUCUUGUUAUCUCUACGAUUCUCCGUUGGAAAACCCAAUUCCUAUAUUUGUUGUUGUCCCGAAUACUCCGGCUUUUCUCGAGCUCACCGCGGAAACCCAAGAACUUCGGGACGUGCAAGGACCACCUCAUCGUCGUUUUAUUAAACCUCCGAAAUUUCGAUGACGUGAAGUACAUCAAUCCUAGUUAAGAAACAAAACCAAACUUUAUAUAACGGGUCGAGGAGGAUAAACUAACUAAGUAGACUACUAAAACGGUCCGUUUAUUUGUUUUCCGUAUACAUAACAAUGCUCACUGCGGUAGGUAUGAGGGUAUACACCUUAAGUUCUUUAUCUCUUUACAGUAACAAGAAGAUGAUUAACCAACGAACCGGUUUACAUGACAUUUACUAAAUAAUAACAAGUUCCAUAUCUC